This 812-nucleotide ribosomal RNA is filed under the name uncultured bacterium. RNAcentral's name for it is "bacterial SSU rRNA". It matches the Rfam family "Bacterial small subunit ribosomal RNA", at positions 58 to 916 of the family's 1533-position model. The record is from RNAcentral.
CAAGUCGAGCGAACCUUCUGGUUAGUGGCGGACGGGAGAGUAACGCGUGACAAUCUGCCCUCACGAGGGGGAUAACGGCUGGAAACGGCCGCUAAUACCCCAUAUGCCGAAAGGUGAAACGAAUUUCACCUGAGGAUGAGCUCGCGUCUGAUUAGCUAGUUGGUGGGGUAAGGGCCGACCCUGGCAUCUAUCACCACCUGGUCUGAGAGGAUGAUCGAGCACACUGGGACUGAAACACGGCCCAGACUCCUACGGGAGGCAGCCGUGGGGAAUUUUCCGCACUGGGCGAAAGCCUGACGGACCACCGCCGCGUGAGGGAUGAAGGCCUCUGGGCUGUAAACCUCUUUUAUCAAGGAAGAAGAUCUGACGGUACUUGAUGAAUAAGCCACGGCUAAUUCCGUGCCAGCAGCCGCGGUAAUACGGGAGUGGCAAGCGUUAUCCGGAAUUAUUGGGCGUAAAGCGUCCGCAGGCGGCCUUUUAAGUCUGUCGUCAAAGCGUGGAGCUUAACUCCAUUUAAGCUAUGGAAACUGGAAGGCUACAGUGUGGUACGCGCAGAGCGGAUUCCCGGUGUAGCGGCGAAAUGCCUAGAUAUCGUUGAGAACACCAUUGCCGAAAGCGCUCUGCUGAGACAUAACUGAUGCUCAUGGACGAGAGCCAGGGGAGCGAAAGGAAUUAGAUACCCCUGUAGUCCUGGUCUCAUACGAUGAACACUAGGUGUCGGGGGAAUCGACCCCCUCGGUGUCGUAUCCUACGCGUUGAGUGUCCCGGCUGGGGAGUACGCACGCAUGUGUGAAACUCAUAGGAACUGACGG